AUUAUAGGAACCGCUAACAGUGUCUCAAACUGCCCUCCAUGGAGGAGAGCUGUGGAUGGCAGGCCUGCUCCCUCAUCUGCAGAUACACAGGACAACUGUUCUUUGGGGGAAGAUGGCAUAUCUUGUAGAGUCACUGACGCCAGCACAUGAUUGAAAGAAAAUAUCAUCAGCACUUAGCUUUCACCAAGGAAGUCUCCAGAAAUGGUUCACAAGUAACAUGAAAUCCAUACAGCAAAAGGCUGCAGGCCCUACUUCCUCAGACUUGAGUUAAGUGAUACCAGUCUGCCUUCUUAAACUAAGAUCUUCGGAGACAUGAUUCAAGAGGAGCUCAUAUUAGUGACUGCUGUCACACCACACAGGCAAAAAACUAAGGGCUCAUUCUUCCUUCCCUUAUGAUUGAAUAAAAUAAAAUAAAAUGUAUGCCCAUGC
Long non-coding RNA from Nycticebus coucang (slow loris), 429 nucleotides. RefSeq lists it as uncharacterized. Lineage: Eukaryota; Metazoa; Chordata; Mammalia; Primates; Lorisidae. The transcript is spliced from 3 exons. The record is from RefSeq and is a predicted model, not a curated record.